UCUGAGAGGACGAUCAGCCACUACGUGGGACUGAUACUACGGCCCAAACUCCUAGCGGGAGGCAGACAGUGAGCGGAAUUUUCCGCAAUGGGCCGUAAGCCUGACGGAGCAAGACCUGUUGAUGGAGGACACGCUCUUGGGUUGUAAACCUCUUUGCUCAGGGAACAAGCUCUGACGGUACCUGAGGAAUCAGCCUCGGAUAUCUCCAUGCCAACAGCCGAGGUAAUUCGGAAGACGCAAGGCGUUAUCCGGAAUCAUGGGGCUUAAAGCGUACUCGUCGUGCGCUAUUCAAGUCUGUUGUCAUAACACACGGGGUCUACCUCCUGUAAGGCAGUGGAAACUGAAUAGCUAGAGUGCCGUAGGGGUAGAGGGAAUUCCCGGUGUACCGGUGAAAUGCGUAUAGAUCGGUAAGAACCUCGGUGGAGACUGCGCUCUACUGGACGGUAAUUGACAUUCAGGGACGAGUGCUAUGGGAGCGAAUGGGAUCCUAUACCGCUAGUAGUCCUAGCUGUCCACGAUG
This 520-nucleotide ribosomal RNA is filed under the name uncultured organism. RNAcentral describes it as "bacterial SSU rRNA". It matches the Rfam family "Bacterial small subunit ribosomal RNA", at positions 291 to 811 of the family's 1533-position model. The record is from RNAcentral.